GAUGAAUGCUGGCGGCGUGCCUAAUACAUGCAAGUCGUAUGGAAAGGCCCUUCGGGGUACUCGAGUGGCGGACGGCUGAGUAACGCGUGGGAACGUGCCCCAAAGUGAGGAAUAACUGCCCGAAAGGGUAGCUAAUGCCGCAUAUGGUCUUCGGAUUAAAGCUUCGGCGCUUUGGGAGCGGCCCGCGUACGAUUAGAUAGUUGGUGAGGUAAUGGCUCACCAAGUCGACGAUCGUUAGCUGGUCUGAGAGGAUGAUCAGCCAGACUGGAACUGAGACACGGUCCAGACUCCUACGGGAGGCAGCAGUAAGGAAUCUUCCACAAUGGGCGAAAGCCUGAUGGAGCAACGCCGCGUGCAGGAUGAAGGCCUUCGGGUCGUAAACUGCUUUUAUAAGUGAAGAAUAUGACGGUAACUUAUGAAUAAGCACCGGCUAACUACGUGCCAGCCGCCGCGGUAA
This 457-nucleotide ribosomal RNA is filed under the name uncultured bacterium. RNAcentral's name for it is "partial 16S ribosomal RNA". It matches the Rfam family "Bacterial small subunit ribosomal RNA", at positions 28 to 523 of the family's 1533-position model. The record is from RNAcentral.